Molecule: ribosomal RNA, 555 nt
Filed under: Pseudomonas sp.
Lineage: Bacteria; Pseudomonadati; Pseudomonadota; Gammaproteobacteria; Pseudomonadales; Pseudomonadaceae
Description: bacterial SSU rRNA
Rfam family: Bacterial small subunit ribosomal RNA
Source: RNAcentral
UGAACGCUGGCGGCAGGCCUAACACAUGCAAGUCGAGCGGUAGAGAGAAGCUUGCUUCUCUUGAGAGCGGCGGACGGGUGAGUAAUGCCUAGGAAUCUGCCUGGUAGUGGGGGAUAACGUUCGGAAACGGACGCUAAUACCGCAUACGUCCUACGGGAGAAAGCAGGGGACCUUCGGGCCUUGCGCUAUCAGAUGAGCCUAGGUCGGAUUAGCUAGUUGGUGAGGUAAUGGCUCACCAAGGCGACGAUCCGUAACUGGUCUGAGAGGAUGAUCAGUCACACUGGAACUGAGACACGGUCCAGACUCCUACGGGAGGCAGCAGUGGGGAAUAUUGGACAAUGGGCGAAAGCCUGAUCCAGCCAUGCCGCGUGUGUGAAGAAGGUCUUCGGAUUGUAAAGCACUUUAAGUUGGGAGGAAGGGCAGUUACCUAAUACGUGAUUGUUUUGACGUUACCGACAGAAUAAGCACCGGCUAACUCUGUGCCAGCAGCCGCGGUAAUACAGAGGGUGCAAGCGUUAAUCGGAAUUACUGGGCGUAAAGCGCGCGUAGGUGGUU